This 119-nucleotide ribosomal RNA is filed under the name Pteropus alecto (black flying fox). Lineage: Eukaryota; Metazoa; Chordata; Mammalia; Chiroptera; Pteropodidae. The record is from RNAcentral.
GUCAGUGGCCAUGCCACCCUGAACGAGCCCGAUCCCGUCUGACCUCGCACGCUAAGCAGGGUCGGGUCUGCUUAGUACUUGGAUGGGGAACCACCUAGGAAGACCAGGUGCUGUAGGCG